This 140-nucleotide ribosomal RNA is filed under the name uncultured Bacillus sp. RNAcentral's name for it is "partial 16S ribosomal RNA". It matches the Rfam family "Bacterial small subunit ribosomal RNA", at positions 1243 to 1382 of the family's 1533-position model. Lineage: Bacteria; Bacillati; Bacillota; Bacilli; Caryophanales; Bacillaceae. The record is from RNAcentral.
ACGGACGCAAAGCCGCGAGGUGGAGCAAAUCCUAAAAAGCCGGUCUCAGUUCGGAUUGCAGGCUGCAAUUCGCCUGCAUGAAGUCGGAAUCGCUAGUAAUCGCAGGUCAGCAUACUGCGGUGAAUACGUUCCCGGGCCUU